GUGUCAAUAACCUUGGACUAAAUAAAAGUUUGCCAGAUUAUGAGAUCAUCUGAUGUAACUGCCUGUUGUUAGGAGUUAUUAUGUAUUGGUUAUAUUACUGUGAUCUAUGCAAUACAAUAACAGUCGCAAUACAUGUAAUGCUUAGUUGAAAAACUGACGAGUACAUCCUCCUUUGUUUGUCAAUAUUAUCACGUAAGCUAGGUUAUAUGCACUCAUUUGUAAUAAUCAUAUCUUGUACCAGG
Molecule: long non-coding RNA, 242 nt
Filed under: Mytilus galloprovincialis (Mediterranean mussel)
Lineage: Eukaryota; Metazoa; Mollusca; Bivalvia; Mytilida; Mytilidae
Source: RNAcentral